UGAGGGUGCGAUUUAAAGAGGGCUCAGAAAUCCUCUGAAUUCUGGCUCUGAAAGUGGGCUUGUGAUGGCAUGGUCAGUGCUGCUACAGGGGCUGUGAUGACAGGCUUUGCCUCGCCGUGUCUUCUGGAAUCUUCAGCUAGGAAUAAUGUCAGAGAGGAGCAUGCGGUAAAUGACAGAGCUGAUGCAUUGGCUUCUCAGCAGCUUCGGUGCUACAAGUGA
Molecule: long non-coding RNA, 219 nt
Filed under: Anser cygnoides (Swan goose)
Lineage: Eukaryota; Metazoa; Chordata; Aves; Anseriformes; Anatidae
Description: lncRNA (ENSACDG00005007473.1)
Source: RNAcentral